GAUCAUGGCUCAGGAUGAAUGCUGGCGGCGUGCCUAAUACAUGCAAGUCGAGCGGUAAGGCCCUUCGGGGUACACGAGCGGCGGACGGCUGAGUAACGCGUGGGAACAUGCCCCAAAGUGAGGGAUAACGCACCGAAAGGUGUGCUAAUACCGCAUAUGGUCUUCGGAUUAAAGGAUUUAUCCGCUUUGGGAGUGGCCCGCGUACGAUUAGAUUGUUGGUGAGGUAACGGCUCACCAAGUCGACGAUCGUUAACUGGUCUGAGAGGAUGAUCAGUCAGACUGGAACCGAGACACGGUCCAGACUCCUACGGGAGGCAGCAGUAAGGAAUCUUCCACAAUGGGCGAAAGCCUGAUGGAGCAACGCCGCGUGCAGGAUGAAGGCCCUCGGGUCGUAAACUGCUUUUAUGAGUGAAGAAUAUGACGGUAACUCAUGAAUAAGCACCGGCUAACUACGUG
This 456-nucleotide ribosomal RNA is filed under the name uncultured bacterium. RNAcentral describes it as "bacterial SSU rRNA". It matches the Rfam family "Bacterial small subunit ribosomal RNA", at positions 15 to 507 of the family's 1533-position model. The record is from RNAcentral.